Molecule: long non-coding RNA, 358 nt
Organism: Hylaeus volcanicus
Lineage: Eukaryota; Metazoa; Arthropoda; Insecta; Hymenoptera; Colletidae
Exons: 3
Source: RefSeq, a predicted model, not a curated record
AGUCUGGAAGGCAUACGCCUUCAUUCAAUGAAGUUUAUAAGAUAUAACACGUUGUAGAAUACGAUUUUAAUUAAAAUUGAUCGUGUUUUAUAAAGUUUUGCCUUUCACGGAUUUUUAAGUCACUAUUAUUUAGCAUGCGGUAUAUAUAAUAACGAUUCCGUAGGUGCUGAUGCAGGUACAGCAGGUUCAUCGCUUUUCUUCAUAAGUGCCUAUAUACGGUUAACCAGCAUAUUUUAGAUUGGUAACCAACUUACUUGUGCAAUAAUGGAAGCUACCUUUUCCUUAUCCACGGCCGUAUGGAUACGUUUAUUCUUUAAAUGGUGUGGAGUGUCUCUACGAUGAAGUCUAUUGGGUCUAU